UUUAAUUAUGCAAGAUGAUGCAAGAUGCCAUCAAAGACAGGGCGGCGGCCUGUUUAAUAAUCGCUGCUAGGAGGUGAUUUUGGGAGGCGCCCACAUUCUUUUAGUAUUUUAUAGGAAGUGUAUAAUUUGGUAACUAAGGCAAACACCAGAAAAAAAACUUACUAGUGUAACGGACUCGCUGACACUCGAUUUGACCAUGGAUGCAUGUGCACUGCUCUACGUUGCGAAGAGAACUUCUCGGGACACAGACACUCAAAUGCUAGCUUGUGUGGGAUGCAGGUGCCUCCGUUGUGACACGGCUUUUCCUUACAUGGAUUGAUGAUUCUUCGUGACGUGUGGACGGAGCCUGAUACGUAAAAUGCAACAGUUAAAAUGUACACAGUUAAAGAUGUAAAGAUAUGAACAUUUCAUAUCAUGAGGUAUUGUGACCAAAAUUAUCAGUUUUUAUUAUCAUAGUAUUGUGAAUGUACUCAAAAAUUAUACAUUGUUUUGUGAAUUACUUAGCAUUUCAUUGAAGCCGCUUUUAUACCCAAUCAUGGCACCCACCUGUUCCCAAUUAGCCUGCACAACUGUGGGAUGUUCCAAAUAAGUGUUUGAUGAGCAUUCCUCAACUUUAUCAGUAUUUAUUGCCACCUUUUCCAACUUCUUUGUCACGUGUUGCUGGAAUCAAAUUCUAAAGUUAAUGAUUAUUUGCAAAAAAAAAAUGUUUAUCAGUUUGAACAUCAAAUAUGUUGUCUUUGUAGCAUAUUCAACUGAAUAUGGGUUGAAAAGGAUUUGCAAAUCAUUGUAUUCCGUUUGUAUUUACAUCUAACACAAUUUCCCAACUCAUAUGGAAACGGGGUUUGUAAGAUGGACUGAUGCAAAGUGGAAAGGUGUUCUGUGGUCUGACGACUCCACAUUUCAAAUUAUAUUCGGAAACUGUGGACUUGGUGUCCUCCGGAACAAAGAGGAAAAAAAACAUCUGGAUUGUUAUAGGCGCAAAGUUCAAAAGCCAGCAUAUCUGUGAUGGUAUGGGGGUGUAUUAGUGCCCAAGGCAUGGGUAACUUACACAUCUGUGAAGGCACCAUUAAUGCUGAAAGGUCCAUACAGGUUUUGGAGCAACAUAUGUUGUCAUCCAAGCAACGUUAUCAUGUACGCACCUGCUUAUUUCAGCAAAACAAUGCCAAGUCACGUGUUAUAACAGCGUGGCUUCGUAGUAAAAGAGUGCAGGUACUUUCCUGGCCCGCAUGCAGUCCAGACAUGUCUCCAAUCGAAAAUGUGUGGCGCAUUAUGAAGCGUAAAAUACGACAACAAGACCCCGGACUGUUAAACAACUUAAGCUGUACAUCAAGCAAGAAUAGUAAAGAAUUCCACUUUCAAAACUUCAACAAUUAGUUUCCUCAGUUCCCAAACGUUUAAUGAGUGUUGUUAAAAGAAAAUGUGAUGUAACAGGGGUGAACAUGCCGUUUCCCAACUACUUUGGCACGUGUUGCAGCCAUGAAAUUCUAAGUUAAUUAUUAUUUGCAAAAAAAAAAAAUGUAUGAGUUUGAACAUCAAAUAUCUUGUCUUUUUAGUGCAUUCAAUAGAAUAUGGGUUGAAAAGGAUUUGCAAAUCAUUGUAUUCCGUUUAUAUUUAUAUCUAACACAAUUUCCCAACUCAUAUGGAAACGGGGUUUGUAUGUAUAGAUGUAUGUUUGUACAGUGAAUCUGCGUAUGUAUGUACGUUUGUAUCUAUGUACAAUAUUUUUGUCUCCCAACAAAACAAGGGACCAGCGCACAACCAACCAGCACCCAAGCCAGCGAGAGACCACUCCCCACACUGGCAGAAGGAAGACGGGUCAUCUCACCCCGAGGACCCCAGACACACCCGCAGCCGGAGGGGAAAACCUGCUACGCCCCAUCAGAAACUGAGACCCCAUGAGCCUAACACCCCCUGGGAAGGACAGGGAAGCACACCUGGGCUGCUCCACCCCAAAUGGCCACAGUAGGACCAUCCAGCAUGAAGCCACGAGAACCACCAACCCCACCCCCAGAGGAACCCCAACAGUGGAGAUGGGACACCCAGCAUCUGCCUUGGCAAAGCCUCCCCGUGAAUGAAAAGAAAUGAAGUAAAUAAAUUAAUUUAAAAAAUAAAAAGAACAAAUAAGAAGAGAGAAAUCGGUGGACAUAUUGCUUUGUCCUUGGUCUACUCAUGUUGUUUGUACUUGGUCUAGAUUUUUGUGUGACAUUUAAAAUGACUAUAGUUUUGUGUCAUGUCUGUUAUCUGCUUUUUUUCUACAAAAUUAAACAACUGCAUGAACAUCC
Molecule: long non-coding RNA, 2282 nt
Organism: Nerophis ophidion (straightnose pipefish)
Lineage: Eukaryota; Metazoa; Chordata; Actinopteri; Syngnathiformes; Syngnathidae
Exons: 2
Source: RefSeq, a predicted model, not a curated record